Molecule: ribosomal RNA, 247 nt
Filed under: uncultured bacterium
Lineage: Bacteria
Description: partial 16S ribosomal RNA
Rfam family: Bacterial small subunit ribosomal RNA
Source: RNAcentral
UACGUAGGGGGCAAGCGUUGUCCGGAAUCAUUGGGCGUAAAGAGCGUGUAGGCGGUCCGGUAAGUCGGCUGUGAAAGUCCAGGGCUCAACCCUGGGAUGCCGGUCGAUACUGCCGGACUAGAGUUCGGAAGAGGCGAGUGGAAUUCCCGGUGUAGCGGUGAAAUGCGCAGGAUAGUCGGGAGGAACACCUAUGGCGAAGGCAGCUCGCUGGGACGUUACUGACGCUGAGACGCGAAAGCGUGGGAGC